CACUAUCUUUUCAUUAACGGUAAAAUCUAGGGGUCAUUGGACUAAAUUUACUUUACUUGGAAUAAAGGAAAGAAAAACACCAAUUCCUCAAAAAUAAAAUGAAUGUUGUAGGAAAAAAUAAAAUACAGAGAUUGGAGGGAGUGUUGCAAUUUUCCAAGUGCUAUUAAAACUUUUGUUUAUAGCACUGGAAGUUGUGAGGGGAGAUUUGACCUCACAUCUAGUGCUGUAAGAUGAUGGCCAGCGUUUAUCAUACAUUUAGUCAUUCAUUAAACAUGCAUUUUUGAACAUGAACACAUUUAUGGGCAUGUAGUUUUUGCCCUCCAACAACUUAGAGUUUAUGAGAAAAGAUGCAUAUAUGCAAAAUUUUUGCAAGGUCUGAUGAUGAGUGCCAUAGUCGAAACACAGAAUGGUAGCAUGCUAGUAGGAACAAAUGGCAGGGACAUCUUGAAAAACUCUUUGACAGUCAAAUAACAAACCUACCUAGUGAGAUGAUGAAAGGAUCAUGGAAUACUUCUCAGAUAAAGUGAUGUGUUAAUAGUUUCCUGGAAAAUCAGAGGAAAUUCAGAGAGAAAGCAGAGGGACCCAAAUAUAGAGGCAUGAAGUAAUGCGAUAAAUUCAGAAAAAUAGGGCUAUGGGGAUGGAGUUUCUGAUGAAACAAAGAAGAUGGCAGAAGAUAAAGCCAGAAAAGUCAGCAAGGGUCAUCAAGAAGGGAAAAUAAUUGCAACCAGCCUGCGUUUUUAUUCUUCCUUCAUCUCUUUCUUACUCACCAGGAUUCCUAGGGCACAUUCUUCAGUUCCCUCAGAAGAUGGGGACAAUGAUAAUACAUGCAUCAUAAAAGUUGCUGUGAGAACUAAAGUGAAAUAUGGUAAUACAUGUGAAGUUUAGCAUAGUGACCGGCACCAAAUAACAUCUCAACUAAUGUAAACUUGUUGUUAUUCAAAUAUUAGUUGAAGAAAUCUCGUCUUUAUUCUCCGGUCAGAGGAAAGCCAUGCAAGUAUCUUAAGAAAAGCAAUGCUAUAUCAAGAUCUGUAUGGAAAAUGAAAAGGAAAUAGACUGGGAAAUGGGAUAUGUUAGAGGAGAAGGAAGAUUAAAGCUAAGGAGAGGGAUGUACAUAAUUGAGUGACAAUAAGCCUAAGGAUUUCAGCUCUCUCCCAGGUUUGGGAUUUGGGGAAUUAGGACAGAUGGUACUAAUAGUAACCAAGUAAGAAGAUAUAUAAGAGACAGAAAGUGUAGUGGAAAAAUAAUAAAUUCAGUUUAUUUACACAUGAAUUUUGAGGUAUCCAGGGACAUCACAUGGGGCACUCUGCAGGUAAGAUGAGUCGGGUCUGGAUGUGAAAAAAAGUCCGGACCAGAGGUACAGUCUUGGCAGUUUUUGGAUUGGUGAGAUUAUUUAGGGAGGAAAGCUAGUAUAUUAACCUGAGAAAGACUAGAAAGAAAAAUAUGAGGGAACCAAGAGAGAAUGAGGCUGCAGAGAUCAAAGGAAAAUAGUUUGAUUAAAUUUGGAGUCAUAUUUUGACCAGUACCUCCACCCCACUUUUCUGUUCUGCCAUCUCCUUUGUAGACAGCCUCUAGGUGCUCCCACAAACAUCUGAAGUUAUUUGUAUCAUCUUUUGUGGGACACAACCCUCUCCUGUGGCUCCUUAUUCUUGCAAGCUACAGGGUUUGUCUUACCUAUGAUUUUCUUUUAAACCAUCACAGUAAGUAUGGAGCAAUAUUGACAGGAAAGGUCCAUGCAAAAAUUAACCAUGAAACAACUUUUUAAAAAAAAUCAUUUAUUUAUAUAUAUUUUUUUCUACUGUACAGCAUGAUGACCCAGUUACACUUACAUGUAUACAUUCUUUUUUCUCACAUUACAUGUUCCAUCAUAGAUGACUAGACAGAGUUCCCGGUGCUGUACAGCAGGAUCCCAUUGUUAAUCCAUCCCAAAGGCAACAUUCUGCAUCUGUUUACCCCAAGCUCCCAGUCCCUCCCCAUCCCUUCCCUUCCCCCCUUGGCAACCACCAGUCUAUUCUCCAAGUCCAUGAUUUUCUUUUCUGUGGAAAGUUUCUUUUGUGCCAUAUAUUAAAACUUUUGUUUUUAAUUUUUAACACAUAUUGGAAUUAUAACCAAGUAUGCUAAUAUGAAUUUAAAAGUAACUAGAGGGAGUUCCCAUUGUGGCUCAUCAAGAUAAGAACCUGACUGGUAUACACAAGGAUAAAGGUUCAAUCCCUGACCCCCCUCAGUGGGUUAAGGAUCCAGUAUUGCUGUGAGCAGUGGUAUAGGUCGCAGAUGCUGCUCGGAGAAUCCUGUGGCAUAGGCUGGCAGCUGCAGCUCUGAUUCGACCCCUAGCCUGAGAAUGUCCAUAUGCUUAAGGGUCAGCCCUAAAAAGAAAAAAAGGUAACUAGAAAUAUAGAAUCACUAGAGAGAGAGAGAGAGAUUAUAAAUUUAGCUACAUCAGGUUUUUUGUUUUUUUUUUAAUUCAGCAUGGAAGUGAACACCAUAAACAAAGUUAAAACUUGGAAAAGUGUUUGCAAUUCAUAUCACACAUGAAGAGCUAAUCCUAUCAUUACACAAAGAGCAUCUAGAAAUCAAGGUGAAUUUUUUCAGUGACAAUAAAAGUAAAUGAGCAUGAACAGUUCACACACACACACACACACACACACAAAAAGAGAUAUGAAGGGCCCUAAACAAAAGAAAAGAUAUUCACUCAUUUAUCAUAAGAAAAAUGCAAAUUAACACCUUGGUAGAGUUUUACAAGUACAAGUUUGGGGAAAAUACUUGAAACCAGCAUGUUGUAUUGUGAGAAUAUUGAAAAAUAGGCACUCUAAUGCAUUGCAGGUACAGGUUCAAAAUUGAAAUAACCUGAAUAACCUUGAAGGCAGGAGAUACAGUGAGAUUUAUCAAAAUUACAGAUGCCUUUGCUCUUUGCUUCAGAAAUCUCACUGCUGAGAAUCGUGCCGACAGAUACCUCUGUACAAGUGCAAAAUGAUAUAUAGUGAAGAUUAUUCAUUGUGACACUGUUUAUAAUAGCAAAGGUUGCUUUUCCAAACCCAAGUGAUGGCAGUAGGGUUUUGUAUUGUACAUUCUCAGAAUAUAGUAACAUGUAGCCACUAAAAAAAAAAAGAAACACAUUAGAUUGUUGUAUACUGAGGUAUAGAGACCCCCAAGACAGUAUGUUAAAAAUACAAGGAACAUAACAGUUAUGUAUUUUGCUACUAUGUGUGAUAAAGUGGGAUGGUAAGAAAAUAUAUGUAUUUGCUGGCAAUUACAAAGAGAAAUACUUGGGAACACACAGCUUUUUUGGGUGAAUCCUGUAUUCUUUAGUAGUAUAAACAAAUAUUUAGUAAAAAUGAUUACCAUAGGGGGUGGAAGAAAAUGAGAUAGAAGGUAUAUUUUUAGUGGGAUAUAUUCUGUGCACAAAACCCACUAAUACAUGUUUUAAGACAUUCAGCAGGUUUAUUAAUGUCGUUAGAAUUAAAAUUUUCUAGUGUGAGAGAAGAUUUUAGUUAUAAAGUCAAAGAAGUAAAAGCAAUCUGAUAUUAAAAAUGAAUUGAAAAUACCAUUAUGCACUAGUAUUUUUAAAAACAUGUUACUCAUUAUCUAGCACUAAAGUUUCCUAGUGAGACGUUUUCCUUGGGAGCAUCCAUACCUCUAAUGCCCAGAGAUUGGUUUUUAAUUUCAUUGCCUCCUAAAGGGAACCAAGAACCUUGCAGAAAUAUCUGACUUCUGGUUUAGGGCAGGGAGGGCACAAAUAGUAAGCAAAAAUCUUUCACAGAUUAAUGAGAUACUAUCAAAUGGUAUAGAUACUAGCUUGUUGAGCCUCCUCCAGCAGGCCAAAGAUAGGACAAUUGGAGCAUCAGAAAGAAUACCGUUUGUAACUGAUAAUGAAUCUAUGAAAAUCCACGAGUCUGCAAGAAUACUCAGAGAAAGAAAAAAAUACACUGGUCGUUAUUUGAGAGCAUUGCUGAACCAAGUCACCUUUGACAUUUGGUCAUUUUAUAGGGAUUUUGAACAUUUAUCUUGUCUUACUGGGAGAAAUUGUAUUUGGAGUUUACCAAACUGUUCCAAUUGGUAAGGGAGAGCUCUGCUUUACGGAAGAAUGGCAAUUGAGAUAAAAGGAAAGAAUAAUAGGUUUAGAACAUAAUCAUUAUGAAACCACAAAUGAAAUUUUUGAUUGAGGCAGAUCAAUCAUUGCUAAUCCAUAAGGAUGAGUUUUCUCCAUCUGUCAUUAUGUCCCAAAGAUCUUGAGACUGAAAUCAUCAGGUGGAUGGUUGAUGAGGAACUAGAUGUUAGUAUGGUGCCCCAAAUUGCACAGAAUUGUUCGAAGGGGAGAAUUCAGCAAUGGAAGGAUUGAACUAUUACUGAUGCUCAAUCUAGCAUUGGUAAUCGUGGGGCCAACCAUUGGGAGUGUAAUAUGAGGGACUACAUUCUAUUUCUCAGUGUUUAACUCAAAUCUGAUAAAGCCCUUCCUAUUUAUAAGAAAUAUGGUAAUUAUUUCCUGUUUAUAGGAAAUAUGGGGCGAAUAAUAAUAAAGUAAAUUAUGUCUUCAGAAAGUAGUCAAACAAAUCAUGGGACAGAGUGACAAGUAGAGAGAUGGGGGCAGAUAGAAUAGAAAUUUUUUCUGUGUCUUUUCAUAGACUCAUAAAACAUUACCU
Molecule: long non-coding RNA, 4634 nt
Filed under: Sus scrofa (pig)
Lineage: Eukaryota; Metazoa; Chordata; Mammalia; Artiodactyla; Suidae
Description: lncRNA (ENSSSCG00000062286.1)
Source: RNAcentral